Molecule: ribosomal RNA, 156 nt
Filed under: Salmonella enterica subsp. enterica serovar Schwarzengrund
Lineage: Bacteria; Pseudomonadati; Pseudomonadota; Gammaproteobacteria; Enterobacterales; Enterobacteriaceae
Description: partial 16S ribosomal RNA
Rfam family: Bacterial small subunit ribosomal RNA
Source: RNAcentral
UUAAAUUGAAGAGUUUGAUCAUGGCUCAGAUUGAACGCUGGCGGCAGGCCUAACACAUGCAAGUCGAACGGUAACAGGAAGCAGCUUGCUGCUUUGCUGACGAGUGGCGGACGGGUGAGUAAUGUCUGGGAAACUGCCCGAUGGAGGGGGAUAACU